UACGGGGGGGGCAAGCGUUGUUCGGAUUCAUUGGGCGUAAAGAGCGUGUAGGCGGCCAGGUAGGUCGGUUGUGAAAACUGGAGGCUCAACCUUCAGACGUCGACCGAAACCAUCUGGCUAGAGUCCGGGAGAGGAGAGUGGAAUUCCUGGUGUAGCGGUGAAAUGCGCAGAUAUCAGGAAGAACACCCGUGGCGAAAGCGGCUCUCUGGAACGGUACUGACGCUGAGACGCGAAAGCGUGGGGAGCGAACAGG
This 253-nucleotide ribosomal RNA is filed under the name uncultured bacterium. Its description in RNAcentral is "partial 16S ribosomal RNA". It matches the Rfam family "Bacterial small subunit ribosomal RNA", at positions 524 to 776 of the family's 1533-position model. The record is from RNAcentral.